This 212-nucleotide unclassified non-coding RNA is filed under the name Hevea brasiliensis (rubber tree). The record is from RNAcentral. Lineage: Eukaryota; Viridiplantae; Streptophyta; Magnoliopsida; Malpighiales; Euphorbiaceae.
AAAAAAAAAAAACUUGUAUGAGAUGUUAAAGUUGAUAGACCACAGUCAUCCUUUGGAAUGGUCAUCAUUUGUAAGGACUUCCACUUUUCUGCUUCCUAGUUGAACCAUCCUUGCCAUGUUAGUAAACUGAAGGCCAUUAGAGAAGUGAUAUCAAACAAAGCUAAUAUUAGUUAGGUGUGAUAAGUUGUUGGUGGAAGGAGUGAGAAGGGAAA